RNAcentral lists this ribosomal RNA (292 nucleotides) under uncultured bacterium. Its description in RNAcentral is "partial 16S ribosomal RNA". It matches the Rfam family "Bacterial small subunit ribosomal RNA", at positions 505 to 796 of the family's 1533-position model. The record is from RNAcentral.
GUGCCAGCCGCCGCGGUAAGACGGGGGGUCCAAGCGUUGUUCGGAAUCAUUGGGCGUAAAGCGGGCGUAGGUGGCCAUGUAAGUCAGGAGUGAAAGCCCUGGGCUCAACCCAGGAAGUGCUUUUGAUACUGCAUGGCUUGAAUGUGGGAGAGGAUAGUGGAAUUCCAGGUGUAGUGGUGAAAUACGUAGAUAUCUGGAGGAACACCGGUGGCGAAGGCGGCUAUCUGGCCCAACAUUGACACUGAGGCCCAAAAGCGUGGGGAUCAAACAGGAUUAGAAACCCGCGUAGUCC